Molecule: long non-coding RNA, 821 nt
Organism: Selaginella moellendorffii
Lineage: Eukaryota; Viridiplantae; Streptophyta; Lycopodiopsida; Selaginellales; Selaginellaceae
Exons: 4
Source: RefSeq, a predicted model, not a curated record
GUAGCCAGCAGCAUCUCAAGGAUUUGAGGUGAACUCAUCAUUGUUUGUCGUCUCGCACCAGAUCCAUCUUUCACAGCAAUCCCCUCGGCCACCUCACACCGCAUCCCCCGGGGUCCAUGCCACACCAAAGCGCUGUCCUGUUCCAUCUUUGUUUCUGCCGGUGCUGCUUCUCGAAACACAAAGCUAAGUAACCGACGGUGAUCUUGUUACGCUAAAAAACAAUAAUUGGCCACGGCUGGCUGUGGAUGUUUCUCGGUACUCUCUAGUAUCCAUCGUGCUGCACUUGGGGGGAGACAUACGUAUACAGCAACGUAUAGUUUGCCGUGGAAGUCCUCGUUGAUUGAUUGAGUCCCUCGCUCACGACGGAACGGGAAAGUCCCAUUCAAGGAAAGCGACUGUGAAGACAUGUGGGUACUCCUGCGGACGUCCACUUUAUGCUGCUUCUUUUCCCAGUCGGGAAGCCCCUCUAGAGCUAUCCUAGAAAGCGAGAAGAAGCGAGAAGAAGCGAGACCUUUGCUUCGUGGAGCAAGCAAUGGGCGAUGGGUGGAUAGAGACAUCGAUCCAAUCAAUAUCGCGAGAAGGAAUGGCGCACUUCUUCUUCCACAGGAGCAAAAGAGGGGACGUAGCAAAAAAAAGGAAGAAAAGCGGGAGACAGGGUGGUGAUUGCGAUCAUCCGAUAUGAAAUCGUCCUGUGGGACAAAGAGGCAGCGCAAGGGGAGGUUCCCAAACAUGGACAAUUUUUGUCGUUCCAGCGCACGACCGAUGCUGUGCAUUAUUUCGCGGCCACCAACAACACAUAUAACUAUAUAUGCUUCAAAGAA